This 1597-nucleotide ribosomal RNA is filed under the name Salmonella enterica. Its description in RNAcentral is "partial 23S ribosomal RNA". It matches the Rfam family "Bacterial large subunit ribosomal RNA", at positions 1 to 1495 of the family's 2925-position model. RNAcentral also lists the same sequence under 1 other name. Lineage: Bacteria; Pseudomonadati; Pseudomonadota; Gammaproteobacteria; Enterobacterales; Enterobacteriaceae. The record is from RNAcentral.
GGGUUGUGAGGUUAAGCGACUAAGCGUACACGGUGGAUGCCCUGGCAGUCAGAGGCGAUGAAGGGCGUGCUAAUCUGCGAUAAGCGCCGGUAAGGUGAUAUGAACCGUUAUAACCGGCGAUACCCGAAUGGGGAAACCCAGUGUGACUCGUCACACUAUCAUUAACUGAAUCCAUAGGUUAAUGAGGCGAACCGGGGGAACUGAAACAUCUAAGUACCCCGAGGAAAAGAAAUCAACCGAGAUUCCCCCAGUAGCGGCGAGCGAACGGGGAGGAGCCCAGAGCCUGAAUCAGCAUGUGUGUUAGUGGAAGCGUCUGGAAAGGCGCGCGAUACAGGGUGACAGCCCCGUACACAAAAGCGCAUGUGCUGUGAGCUCGAUGAGUAGGGCGGGACACGUGGUAUCCUGUCUGAAUAUGGGGGGACCAUCCUCCAAGGCUAAAUACUCCUGACUGACCGAUAGUGAACCAGUACCGUGAGGGAAAGGCGAAAAGAACCCCGGCGAGGGGAGUGAAAAAGAACCUGAAACCGUGUACGUACAAGCAGUGGGAGCCCCACCACCAAAGCAUUUGCUGUACCGCGUUGACGGAGCGAAGCGACGUCAAACCGAUAAAACAGCAGUGUAAAGUGAGCCGCAGGGCGCUUUGCGCGACAGCGCAAAGGCAGGCGGUUUCGCGUAGCGAAAGCGAAUGCUUUGGGGUGGGGUGACUGCGUACCUUUUGUAUAAUGGGUCAGCGACUUAUAUUCUGUAGCAAGGUUAACCGAAUAGGGGAGCCGGAGGGAAACCGAGUCUUAAUUGGGCGUUAAGUUGCAGGGUAUAGACCCGAAACCCGGUGAUCUAGCCAUGGGCAGGUUGAAGGUUGGGUAACACUAACUGGAGGACCGAACCGACUAAUGUUGAAAAAUUAGCGGAUGACCUGUGGCUGGGGGUGAAAGGCCAAUCAAACCGGGAGAUAGCUGGUUCUCCCCGAAAGCUAUUUAGGUAGCGCCUCGUGAAUUCAUCUCCGGGGGUAGAGCACUGUUUCGGCUAGGGGGCCAUCCCGGCUUACCAACCCGAUGCAAACUGCGAAUACCGGAGAAUGUUAUCACGGGAGACACACGGCGGGUGCUAACGUCCGUCGUGAAGAGGGAAACAACCCAGACCGCCAGCUAAGGUCCCAAAGUCAUGGUUAAGUGGGAAACGAUGUGGGAAGGCCCAGACAGCCAGGAUGUUGGCUUAGAAGCAGCCAUCAUUUAAAGAAAGCGUAAUAGCUCACUGGUCGAGUCGGCCUGCGCGGAAGAUGUAACGGGGCUAAACCAUGCACCGAAGCUGCGGCAGCGACACUGUGUGUUGUUGGGUAGGGGAGCGUUCUGUAAGCCUGUGAAGGUGUGUCGUGAGGCAUGCUGGAGGUAUCAGAAGUGCGAAUGCUGACAUAAGUAACGAUAAAGCGGGUGAAAAGCCCGCUCGCCGGAAGACCAAGGGUUCCUGUCCAACGUUAAUCGGGGCAGGGUGAGUCGACCCCUAAGGCGAGGCCGAAAGGCGUAGUCGAUGGGAAACGGGUUAAUAUUCCCGUACUUGGUGUUACUGCGAAGGGGGGACGGAGAAGGCUAUGUUGGCCGGG